This 451-nucleotide ribosomal RNA is filed under the name uncultured bacterium. Its description in RNAcentral is "SSU rRNA". It matches the Rfam family "Bacterial small subunit ribosomal RNA", at positions 26 to 518 of the family's 1533-position model. The record is from RNAcentral.
AGAGCGAACGCUGGCGGCAUGCUUAACACAUGCAAGUCGCACGGGCAGGGGAAACCCUGUCAGUGGCGGACGGGUGAGUAACGCGUAGGUAUCUAUCCUUGGGUGGGGGAUAACGGUUGGAAACGACUGCUAAUACCGCAUGAUAACUGAGGUUUAAAGGCGCAAGUCGCCUGGGGAGGAGCCUGCGUACGAUUAGCUUGUUGGUGGGGUAAAGCCUACCAAGGCGACGAUCGUUAGCUGGUCUGAGAGGAUGAUCAGCCACAUUGGGACUGAGACACGGCCCAAACUCCUACGGGAGGCAGCAGUGGGGAAUAUUGGACAAUGGGCGAAAGCCUGAUCCAGCAAUGCCGCGUGUGUGAAGAAGGUCUUCGGAUUGUAAAGCACUUUCGACAGGGACGAUGAUGACGGUACCUGUAGAAGAAGCCCCGGCUAACUUCGCGCCAGCAGCCGC